RNAcentral lists this unclassified non-coding RNA (506 nucleotides) under uncultured Glomus. RNAcentral's name for it is "SSU rRNA". It matches the Rfam family "Eukaryotic small subunit ribosomal RNA", at positions 569 to 1078 of the family's 1831-position model. Lineage: Eukaryota; Fungi; Glomeromycota; Glomeromycetes; Glomerales; Glomeraceae. The record is from RNAcentral.
AGCAGCCGCGGUAAUUCCAGCUCCAAUAGCGUAUAUUAAAGUUGUUGCAGUUAAAAAGCUCGUAGUUGAAUUUCGGGAUCAAUAUGUUGGUCGUGCCUCGGUACGUACUAGCUUAUUGGUUUCUCCUUUCUGAAGAACCAUGAUGUCAUUUAUUUGGUGUCGUGGGGAAUCAGGACUGUUACUUUGAAAAAAUUAGAGUGUUUAAAGCAGGCUCACGCUUGAAUACAUUAGCAUGGAAUAAUGAAAUAGGACGUUUGAUUCUAUUUUGUUGGUUUCUAGGAUCGACGUAAUGAUUAAUAGGGAUAGUUGGGGGCAUUAGUAUUCAAUUGUCAGAGGUGAAAUUCUUGGAUUUAUUGAAGACUAACUACUGCGAAAGCAUUUGCCAAGGAUGUUUUCAUUAAUCAAGAACGAAAGUUAGGGGAUCGAAGACGAUCAGAUACCGUCGUAGUCUUAACCAUAAACUAUGCCGACUAGGGAUCGGAUGAUGUUAAUUUUUUAAUGACUCA